CGAAUGCUGACAUAAGUAACGAUAAAGCGGGUGAAAAGCCCGCUCGCCGGAAGACCAAGGGUUCCUGUCCAACGUUAAUCGGGGCAGGGUGAGUCGACCCCUAAGGCGAGGCCGAAAGGCGUAGUCGAUGGGAAACAGGUUAAUAUUCCUGUACUUGGUGUUACUGCGAAGGGGGGACGGAGAAGGCUAUGUUGGCCGGGCGACGGUUGUCCCGGUUUAAGCGUGUAGGCUGGUUUUCCAGGCAAAUCCGGAAAAUCAAGGCUGAGGCGUGAUGACGAGGCACUACGGUGCUGAAGCAACAAAUGCCCUGCUUCCAGGAAAAGCCUCUAAGCAUCAGGUAACAUCAAAUCGUACCCCAAACCGACACAGGUGGUCAGGUAGAGAAUACCAAGGCGCUUGAGAGAACUCGGGUGAAGGAACUAGGCAAAAUGGUGCCGUAACUUCGGGAGAAGGCACGCUGAUAUGUAGGUGAAGUCCCUCGCGGAUGGAGCUGAAAUCAGUCGAAGAUACCAGCUGGCUGCAACUGUUUAUUAAAAACACAGCACUGUGCAAACACGAAAGUGGACGUAUACGGUGUGACGCCUGCCCGGUGCCGGAAGGUUAAUUGAUGGGGUCAGCGCAAGCGAAGCUCUUGAUCGAAGCCCCGGUAAACGGCGGCCGUAACUAUAACGGUCCUAAGGUAGCGAAAUUCCUUGUCGGGUAAGUUCCGACCUGCACGAAUGGCGUAAUGAUGGCCAGGCUGUCUCCACCCGAGACUCAGUGAAAUUGAACUCGCUGUGAAGAUGCAGUGUACCCGCGGCAAGACGGAAAGACCCCGUGAACCUUUACUAUAGCUUGACACUGAACAUUGAGCCUUGAUGUGUAGGAUAGGUGGGAGGCUUUGAAGUGUGGACGCCAGUCUGCAUGGAGCCGACCUUGAAAUACCACCCUUUAAUGUUUGAUGUUCUAACGUGGACCCGUGAUCCGGGUUGCGGACAGUGUCUGGUGGGUAGUUUGACUGGGGCGGUCUCCUCCUAAAGAGUAACGGAGGAGCACGAAGGUUGGCUAAUCCUGGUCGGACAUCAGGAGGUUAGUGCAAUGGCAUAAGCCAGCUUGACUGCGAGCGUGACGGCGCGAGCAGGUGCGAAAGCAGGUCAUAGUGAUCCGGUGGUUCUGAAUGGAAGGGCCAUCGCUCAACGGAUAAAAGGUACUCCGGGGAUAACAGGCUGAUACCGCCCAAGAGUUCAUAUCGACGGCGGUGUUUGGCACCUCGAUGUCGGCUCAUCACAUCCUGGGGCUGAAGUAGGUCCCAAGGGUAUGGCUGUUCGCCAUUUAAAGUGGUACGCGAGCUGGGUUUAGAACGUCGUGAGACAGUUCGGUCCCUAUCUGCCGUGGGCGCUGGAGAACUGAGGGGGGCUGCUCCUAGUACGAGAGGACCGGAGUGGACGCAUCACUGGUGUUCGGGUUGUCAUGCCAAUGGCACUGCCCGGUAGCUAAAUGCGGAAGAGAUAAGUGCUGAAAGCAUCUAAGCACGAAACUUGCCCCGAGAUGAGUUCUCCCUGACCCUUUAAGGGUCCUGAAGGAACGUUGAAGACGACGACGUUGAUAGGCCGGGUGUGUAAGCGCAGCGAUGCGUUGAGCUAACCGGUACUAAUGAACCGUGAGGCUUAACCUUACAACGCCGA
This 1664-nucleotide ribosomal RNA is filed under the name Escherichia coli. RNAcentral's name for it is "partial 23S ribosomal RNA". It matches the Rfam family "Bacterial large subunit ribosomal RNA", at positions 1291 to 2925 of the family's 2925-position model. Lineage: Bacteria; Pseudomonadati; Pseudomonadota; Gammaproteobacteria; Enterobacterales; Enterobacteriaceae. The record is from RNAcentral.